GGAGUAGUGGCUCAGUGGUAGAGCACUUGCCUAGCAUGUGUGAGGCACGCAGGACAUAUAAAUCAAUAAAAUAAAGGUCCAUUGACAACUAAAAAAUUAUUAAAUAAAUAAAUAAAUAAAAGAAAGGGGGGCUGGGUAUGUAUCUCAGUGGUAGAACAUGUAGGCAAGACCUUGGGUUCAAUGUCCAGUAACCCCC
RNAcentral lists this transfer RNA (196 nucleotides) under Marmota monax (woodchuck). RNAcentral's name for it is "tRNA.Ala". The record is from RNAcentral. Lineage: Eukaryota; Metazoa; Chordata; Mammalia; Rodentia; Sciuridae.